ACUUGAUAUUUGGAUGAGAUAUACUUAAUGUCAAGCAGUUUCCUUGCAACUCGUUUGUGAACAAAAUGAAAAUCAACUUUUAUGCGCUUUUUUUUUGACAAUUAACUUUUAUGCGCUUAGUGAGGGUAUGAAAGAUUGUAUUAGAAUAAAGAUACUUAGUCAAAAAUAGGGUUUUCUUAUUUUUUUUUCUCCAAGUGAUGCAUCUUCGUGCUCAUGAGGAACCUGGUCAAGCUAUUUUGCUAGAGAUGUUUUUCAGGGGUCUUAGCACGCAUCUAUCCACUCAAGCUAACUCCAAACACAUAGAAUCACAAGAUCCAACAAAGCGGUCAAGAGAGGGGAAAAGAGCUGAGAAAAACCAAAUCAGACCAAAACUCGAAGUCGAUCUUGACACAGACAUGAUUUCUUUAUUGCCAAGAUUAAAAAGGUCUAUUCUUACACAUAGACAAUGGUUUCAUUCACUCAUUUGUGAGAUCUCUCAUCACUCAGUAC
RNAcentral lists this long non-coding RNA (489 nucleotides) under Sorghum bicolor (sorghum). RNAcentral describes it as "long non-coding RNA (SBIC_LNC007339)". The record is from RNAcentral. Lineage: Eukaryota; Viridiplantae; Streptophyta; Magnoliopsida; Poales; Poaceae.